This 1711-nucleotide long non-coding RNA is filed under the name Neodiprion lecontei (redheaded pine sawfly). RNAcentral's name for it is "uncharacterized LOC124294144, transcript variant X2". The record is from RNAcentral. Lineage: Eukaryota; Metazoa; Arthropoda; Insecta; Hymenoptera; Diprionidae.
CAGUUUACAUCGAUGUGUGUAUCGCCAAAUUGUUGGCGUGAGGAUAAGUGACGUUUAAUCGUAAAUGUGGUGUUGCCAUGAAAUUGUUGACAAGGAUUUCAACGGACAAGUACAUCUUUCAAGGGAGCCCUGAUCCACCAGGGCCGUGCGAAAGAUGACGAGUCUUCGAACACUGCUCGUAUCACGACUCCUGUUCCCAAGAUUACUAGUUUCCGUUUCUUUUCUCUCUCUGAUAUCAAGUCUAUAAUUAGAUGCAGUUGUAAGCGAUAUUGGUCCGAGUAGUUUAUCAGAAGCAUACGAGAAACAUUGUCAGACGUGCCAAUGUUUCAAAGGAGAGGAUGAAAAAGUUACGUAAAGUUGACUUGAUCUGAUGAAUAGGAAUCACAGAAUUAUCAUAAUGAGUACAUGUCGGUGAAAUGACGGUUAGUAUAACUUUGGUUAUCAUCAUUCUCUUCCUGAGUGUGAUACAUUAUACACGUAUGAAGAGCCGUAUGAUAAGAUUAAAAAAUGAUAUUUCACCAUUAUGCUAGAUGAUUCUCAGCUCGAGAUCGGCUUACCGCAAUAUUAUCUGACCUCCAAAAAUUGAUUUCCAACGAUAUUUACAAAAUUAAACAAGGUAUAAAUCUUUCUUUAACUCCAAAACUCCAUGCCAUUGGAAUAAAAAUUUGGAAAAAAGAUUAGAGCAAACACAGUGUUUACGUUGACAAGUUCCCGUGCAAUAAAAAAAAAAAAAAAAUCGUUAAUAUCAUAAUAGCAAAAUAUCGACUUUAUUCGAACAAAACGAGGACCAACAAACCUAUCACUUUGCGGCCGGCGUAGUGUAUAAAUCGUGUAAGAAGUUAGUGUUUAAAUCAGUUUGUCAAGGUAAAAAUAAUUUCCUCCCAGAACUCAUUGUGAAUUAUAUUAGUGUGAUCAUCCGAAGUAUAUACACGUCCGCUUGCCGCAUAGUUUUCCGAUUGUUCUCGCAUUUCAUGACCGUAGCCGGAAAAAUUUCUAUUCAAAUUUUGUCUCUGUAGUUUCAAUGACUAAGACUCAAAUAUUUACGGAGUUAUCGCACAUAGUCGAGAGCGCAGGGACAGCACACGGUGAGGUAGCAAGUUAGAUACUCGGACCGAGGCGGAGCAACCUUUCCUUCACAAUACAUUCUUAACUAUUGAACCGGGCUGUUUGGCCGGGAAGAUAUUUCCGAGAAUAUUUCAAACCGAAAUACUACUGCAUUUUUUGUGAAGGACAUUAUAUAUAUAUAUAUAUUUCUACAGCAUGAAACUGUAGGUAUGCGAAACGAAGGUUAACGAUGCCCGAGCAAUAGAGAUAGUUUAGCUCGAAAGUGUUUCGUGGACGGUUGAAUUUUCAAAACUAAAAUUCCGGACCAUCCAAAGGGAACCCAAGGAAAUGUAGCUCGAAGAUGUACUAAAAAAAAAAAAAAAAAAAAAACGAUUUCAAGGAAAUCAAUUCACCGAUAAGUGCGGGGAGAGUUUCGGGCCGAGUACAAGUGACGGUGUAAGCGCAAGUGCCAAAUAACUAAGAACUGCGUGCACAGAGGUGCACUUUUUUGGGAUCAACAGAGAAAAAGCUGCAGCUGCAGCAGUUUUCGCUUUCACGAAAAAGAGGCGUUCGAGAGUCUCCAUAACGCCGGCAUUUUGUUUUGCACAAGAAUAAAAAAAAAAUGUUUUUCAAAACUUGAAAUUUUUAAUAAAUCAAUGUCAAAAUU